UUGUCCUUAAAAAAGUUACACUUCUCCAUCUUAAGAGUCAGUUUGGCUUCCUUUAAGCGAUCCAGAAUUUGUUCUAAGUUAUCUGCGUGAUUAGAAAAUAUAUCGCCCAGGAUAAUUAUGUCAUCAAGGUACACCUGAACCUUGUUGCUUAAUAGUCCUGUAUGGACAGUGCUUAUUAUUUUCUUGAAGCAGGACGGGGCUGUUUUAAGGCCAAAGGGGAGGGAAGUAAAUUCCCAAUGUCCUGCUGGAGAAGAAAAUGCCGUCUUCUCUCUGCUGAUUUCAUCUAGGGGGAUUUGAUGGUAACCCUGUUUCAUGUCUAGGCAUGAAAAAAAAAAAAUUACUAUCUCCCAAUUGAUUGAGUAUGGUAGUUAUAUUAGGGAGUGGGUACCGGUCGUCCCGUAGUGUUUUAUUAAGUGCCCGGAAGUCCAGACAAAGUCGUAGUACUCCAUCUUUUUGGGGCACUGUGAUAAGUGGGGCAUUAUAGGGUGAUCGCGAAGGGCGAAUCACACCCUGUAGCUAGAGCGAUAUAAGUUGUUCAUUUACUCUGUCAUGAUAACUGAUAUGAAUGUUAUAUGGACGCCUGUACACUACUUCAUCAGUGUUUUGCUUGAUGGUGCUUAAAAAAUAGGGCGUUACUGUUAAUGGUUCUUGUUCUGUGGAAAACACUGUUAUAUAUUUAUCUAUUAAGGACUUUAAAACCUAAUUCUCUCUCUUCACUUGGGAAUUUAGCGUCAACAAUUUGAUAGAGGCUUUUCUUCCUUACUUCAAGCUCUGCGGGCUUCAAGUCUGUUUUAGCUGUGUCAGCGGUCUGUACACUAGAUACUUGUGGCAGAUCAGCGUAUAGCUCAUGAGUGACAGGCUUCACAAAUCCUAACGUUGUAUUAUCAUCUAUCUUUACACUCACUUUCAAUAUUCAAAUACGGCACAGUGACGUAAGAUCUUUGAUUGUCAGAUGAAGGGGUUAACUUAACUAUCCCUGAGCACAAGACUCUAGCCUGAGGAGUACUAACACAAGGCUCAAAUAAAGCUUCACUUGCCUGUAGUUGCGUCACUAGCGUUAUGUAACCUGCAACAGAUGCAUGCAGUUGCAAAGGUUCCGCUGCUUGGCAACGUACGGCCUUAUUUUCAGUGAGACCUUCUUCAUUUCCAUCUACAUUUAGCUAAGAUCCUUCACCUCUAGAUAUAAGACAUUUUUCCAGGCAUAAUUGUAUGGUUUCGCCUUCUAUUAUCAGUUUUAAGCUUCGUUCUUUUGUUCCUCAUUUAGUUGCAAUGUUUUCAAAAUAAUCUCGUGCUACACUACAAAUCAGUACUCAACAUAAUAUGAGUCUGCAAAUCUACAUCGCGUGUUAUCAAUAAUUCUUGGAAACUACUUUUUCCUUCCAUAUUAACUUGUCUUUUACCGUCAUUUUCAAUAUGGUAUCUUUGCACAGAGACAAUAUUCACGGGUUUCGCUUCACAGUUAUUUACUGCGAGCCCUAAUUCUUUAAUAAAUUCAUCCGUUAAAAACUCACACACGCUCCUGUUUCUAGGAGCGCUGCCACUUUUGCAUAUGUGUUAUCAUGAGUAGUGCGAUCUGCCUAACAAAGUUACUCUUGAGUUAUGUUAAUUAUAGCCUUCUUGUCAUUAUUUUUAAGGUCACUCCCUUGUUUGUUAUAGCCUUCUUUUCCUUAUAUUUAUGUGAGGCGGUUACUCCCUUGUUCGUUAUAGCCUUCAUCUUAUUAUAUUAAAGGUUACUCCCUUGUUCGUUAUAGCCUUCAUCUUAUUAUAUUAAAGGUUACUCCCUUGUUCGUUAUAGCCUUCAUCUUAUUAUAUUAAAGGUUACUCCCUUGUUCGUUAUAGCCUUCAUCUUAUUAUAUUAAAGGUUACUCCCUGUUCGUUAUAGCCUUCAUCUUAUUAUAUUAAAGGUUACUCCCUGUUCGUUAUAGCCUUCAUCUUAUUAUAUUAAAGGUUACUCCCUUCUUCGUUAUAGCCUUCAUCUUAUUAUAUUAAAGGUUACUCCCUGUUUUGUUCUUCGCUCAUUUUCCGUUUUUUCCACUGCAAGUGUGCAUAUUUAUUUAUUUAUUUAUUAUUCAUUUAUUUAUUUAAUGUUAUUUGUAGUAGUUAACUGAGGGGGGCACUACCCUGGCCUCCUCUUCCUCUGAUUCUCUUACUUCACACAUUUAUCUUAAUACUUCACACUAUUGUCCAUAUGCUUCAUUUUUUUUUUUUUAUUCAUGACUUUUUAUCCAUACCUCACACUUUUCUUAGUAUUUCACAUUUUUUCUAGAUCAUACUCUACACUUCCUACCUGGGGGACGCGGGUUAGGCCUUUAUAAAGUCACUCUAUGGCUGCAUGCCCGCCGCGGCACACCACCACCCUGUGAGGCGUAGAGCCCCGUGCUCCCCUCCAUCCUGGGGUAACAAUCCUAAAACAAACAAACCUGGGAGGCGGGACGCUGCCGCUGCCUGUCACCUGACACCCUCUCACUGAUGAAUGGAUCGCGGCGCGGGUGGAGAGAGACUGCCCAUCCCUCUCCACUCCGCCCGGGAAGGAACUCAUGAAUUCUCGGUUGAGUCGCGUGUGCUACCCAUUGCACUACAGAACAACAGUGGUUGGCCAGAGUUUCCAUUACCAUAUCGUCAAAGUUCAUGUCCUCCGGAAGAACCAUUAAUUAUAUAAUUAAAUCGUCACUAUUAUUUCCGCCACUUAAAACGAGCAAAGCUUAAUGAAAAUAAGAGGCGUUUUCUCGUCAGAGUAAAUUAAACAAAAGCACUGUAAGCACAUGUCCCUAUUUAUCCCUAUACCGCUGCCACCAGUUUUAGACCCUUAAUUUCUUGUAUUAAAUCAACUCUUUUAUCACUCAUUAAUUACUCCAUAAAUGAUCUCACCGUCUCGUAUCCCUGGUAGCGUGAUCCGGCUUAAGUUGUUAUUGGAGACUGGUGUUCGGGGAUAAACAAGGGAAAAAGUAAAUAUACAUUUAUUUAAAAUUAAAUGAAAGUAAUUGCCUUACGCAAUAUUCUAUGCUCAGACGAUCAUAACACUGGCAUAUUCAGCAAUGGAUGCAACAUAUGACAAACGACAUGUCUUAAACAUAAUACUACAAUAUGUGCUCAGUUGUUGCCAAUAAUAAUAACACUCGUCGUUCCACAAGCAGUGGUUUGUGUCUCUCUGCUUACAUCACAAUCAUUAUGUACUCUCUUCACAAAAUCCUAAUAACACAUUCCUAUAGUAUAAUCUACUACAAGUCAUGGAAACACCCAAUUUUACCACACCCAGUGGUUUUACCUUUGCUUUACAUCGCAAACAAAUAAUCACAAUCCUGUCCCACUCACAAUCCUACUUCACAUCUCCUACAUUAUAAUCUCCAGGACAAUACAGUCGGUUUCCCUUAGAUUCUCGAAUUUCUACUCACGAUUGAGAUCACAACAGCCAUUCUCGGCUGAGUGAGUAGCAGGUCUGCUUGAGGCGAGAACCAAGCUCGGUCUACCCAUACCACUGAUUUCUAGGCCACAUUUUUCUUUGCUUUAGGCGGACUUACAUCCUUGACACGCCCUUAAUUCUUUACAUAACCAAUGGCCAAUACUCCCUGUCACACCCAUCUGCUCGCUCAUUAUGUUGUAUUGUUUUACUUCUCCUGCUAUUCGUGAGUCAGUCUUAAGACACUCUCUCAGUGAUUUUUCUGUUAAAUUAUUGGCUCAUAACAUGUCGCCACGACUGACGUCACGGGUCAGAGUCUUUUUCAAUGGUUGUUCACACUUUCUGACCAAGCCCACUGGGCAUCUGUUUUCUGUACCUGAGUCUGGGUAUCUGUUUUCCUUUACCCUCGUUGUUUCCCCUCUUUGGUAUUUGAGAUGCUUACACUUAUAUAUAUGUCACCCUUUUUGUUAGUGUUUGUCCUGUCAGAUGUUUACACAGUUGUAUACCUGCUUUUCCUCUCUGGGUAUCUGUUUUCCUUUACCCUCGUUGUUUCCCCUCUUUGGUAUUUGAGAUGCUUACACUGUUAUAUAUGUCACCCUUUUUGUUAGUGUUUGUCCUGUCAGAUGUUUACACAGUUGUAUAUCUCACUCCUCUGUUUCCUCGUUUUCCGGGUCCUGACAGGGCCACUAACACCCACACACCAACACAGUAAUAGAUGGGCCACUAACACCCACACACCAACACAGUAAUAGAUGGGCCACUAACAUCCACACAUCAACACAGUAAUAGAUGGGCCACUAACACCCACACACCAACACAGUAAUAGAUGGGCCACUAACAUCCACACAUCAACACAGUAAUAGAUGGGCCACUAACAUCCACACAUCAACACAGUAAUAGAUGGGCCACUAACACCCACACACCAACACAGUAAUAGAUGGGCCACUAACACACCCACCCACACAGUAAUAGAUGGGCCACUAACAUCCACACAUCAACACAGUAAUAGAUGGGCCACUAACACACACACCAACACAAUAAUAGAUGGGCCACUAACACACCCACCGACCCAGUAAUUAUUAUAGAUGGGCCACUAACACACACACCAACAAAGUAACAGAUUGGCCACUAACACCCACACCCACACAGUAAUAGAUGGGCCACUAACACCCACACACCCACACAGUAAUAGAUAUAGCUCUUCGUCUCAUCAGCUCUCCUCCUCUUACUGAUAGUCUUCUACCUCUCCAAUUCCGCAGCCAUGUUGCCUCCCUUUCUAUCUUCUAUCGAUAUUUUCACGCAGACUGCUCUUCUGAACUUGCUAACUGCAUGCCUCCCCCCCCCCCCCCUCAUGCGGCCCCGCCACACACGACUUUCUACUCAAGCUCAUCCAUCCCUUUACUGUCCAAAUUCCUUACGCACGAGUUAACCAGCAUCUUCACUCUUUCAUCCCUCACGCUGGUAAUCUCUGGAACGAUCUUCCUUCAUCUGUAUUUCCUCCUACCUACGACUUGAACUCAUUCAAGAGGAAGGUAUCAGGGCACCUCUUUUCCCGUAAUUAACAGCUCUUUCGGCCACCUCUUCGGAUUCUUUACAGGAGCAGCGAGUAGCGGGCUUAUUUUCUUUUUUUUUACUGUUGUUUCCUUUUUUUGUGCCCUUGUGCUGUUUCCUUUGCUGUAAAAAAAAUCGAUCUUUUCAAAAAGGCGUUUGAUUCAGCGCAUCGCGAGGUACUCUGGGAGCUCCUGCAACUCUGUGGGAUUCCCGCAACGACAAUGCAUCUACUGACUUGUAUGUAUUCUGGAACUGAAAGUGCUGUGAAGUGUGCGUGUGGGGUGUCCAACUCCUUUCCCGUGCACACGGGAGUAAGGCAGGGCUAUGUCCUUGCCCCAACACUUUUCAACACUUGCACGGAGUGGGUAUUAGGCAGUAUAGAGUGCGUAUUGGGAGUUAUAGAUCAAAGUCACCGUGCACAAUCUGUUGUCCAUACCAAGGUCAUUGACCUGGUUUUUGCCGAUGAUCCAGUAAUCCUUGCGGAGUCACUGUAGGUUCUUGCAAUGGCCAUCGAGGAACUGGACGAGGCGGUAGCCCGUGGGACUUUAGGUCUCCUGGGCCAAGACCAUGGUACAGGUCUUUGGAGACUUACUAGAUGAAACUAUAUUCUGUGGGGCGAGGACAUUGGCAUCUUGGAAAAUUUCACAUACCUUGGCAGCGUAGUGCAGAACAACGGCAGGUCAGACAGGAUUAUGUUGAUGGCUGGGAGAGGACUGUGUUGCACAUAUAAGGUAGAGAGAGGUGGCAGGGCACGGCAGGCAAACAUACAAGUCCAUGCGCUCGCAAAUCUUUGAAAAAAAUGUCGCGCCAGCUCUGCUAUACUUAGCAGAUAAUUUGAAGUGAUCGUGGCUAUCAUUAUAUAUAUAUAUAUAUAUAUAUAUAUAUAUAUAUAUAUAUAUAUAUAUAUAUAUAUAUAUAUAUAUAUAUAUAUAUAUAUAUAUAUAUAUAUAUUAAUUCUUUGAGAAUCAUUACUGUAUUCUUGGACUGAUCUGAUAGCUGCUGUUUAAAUUAACUUUAAUUAAACGUGGUAUAAACAUUUAUUAGCCAUUCUUCUAUGCAUUCCUGCUUAUAUUCUAUCACUGUAGUUACUCUCCACAUGGGAAAAAACAUUCACACGUAUAAAAGUGUAAGCGUAAUCAUGUGGUACAAAACCAACUGCAUAUCUACAAGAAUUAGAAUGUUCUUUUAUCACUCAAAGAAUGCUAUUAUUAGAUCAUAUAAUUGGCUUUAUAAUACAGGCCCGACACUGCCGUGCAAUAACUUACAUAAUUCAUACGGCGCCGAGGAGUGGGUCGUGGCUUUCCGAGAUGCCGGGAAAGAUCAGUCUGUAGCACAAUGAUUUCAUUCUUAUCGUUCUCU
Molecule: long non-coding RNA, 6307 nt
Organism: Eriocheir sinensis (Chinese mitten crab)
Lineage: Eukaryota; Metazoa; Arthropoda; Malacostraca; Decapoda; Varunidae
Exons: 3
Source: RefSeq, a predicted model, not a curated record